This 500-nucleotide ribosomal RNA is filed under the name uncultured bacterium. Its description in RNAcentral is "partial 16S ribosomal RNA". It matches the Rfam family "Bacterial small subunit ribosomal RNA", at positions 30 to 523 of the family's 1533-position model. The record is from RNAcentral.
AUUGAACGCUGGCGGAAUGCUUUACACAUGCAAGUCGAACGACAGCACGGACUUCGGUCUGGUGGCGAGUGGCGAACGGGUGAGUAAUGUAUCGGAACGUGCCCAGUCGUGGGGGAUAACGUAGUGAAAAUUACGCUAAUACCGCAUACGAUCUAUGGAUGAAAGCGGGGGAUCGCAAGACCUCGCGCGAUUGGAGCGGCCGAUAUCAGAUUAGGUAGUUGGUGGGGUAAAGGCCCACCAAGCCAACGAUCUGUAGCCGGUCUGAGAGGACGACCAGCCACACUGGAACUGAGACACGGUCCAGACUCCUACGGGAGGCAGCAGUGGGGAAUUUUGGACAAUGGGCGAAAGCCUGAUCCAGCCAUUCCGCGUGCAGGAUGAAGGCCCUCGGGUUGUAAACUGCUUUUGUACAGAACGAAAAGGUUUCUACUAAUACUAGGAGCUCAUGACGGUACUGUAAGAAUAAGCACCGGCUAACUACGUGCCAGCCGCCGCCAUAA